AUCAAUACUCUUUCAGAAUAAUUUUAGUAUUUUUAACAAUCUGCACUGUUACCUGUUUGUCUUUGCCCUCCCUGUUCUAAAUCUGAAUGCUGUGAUAAGCUGUUAACAGAAUGUGAUGCUGUCUUGUGCAGAGCUACUACACUGUAGUUAACAAUCAGCUCCACCCCUUUAAAUCUGUUUUGGGAUCUAUCCCAAAAGUAAGGUGGAAGAAAGGAAUGUAAUUUAUGAAAGCUGACCAAUAGGACCACUUUCAAGAGCAGGAGCAAAGUGAAGAUUACUGUGUGUCUAUGUCUCUGUACAUGCUAUACGUUCCUUUUAACCAGUUUCUGGUGUUAAGUGUUCACAUUAGUAAAAGCAAAUCGGACUGUAAAGAAAAUGUGGGCUACAGAGCCCAUGUUAAACCUCUGACAUACUGAGCCUUACCCUAAAGCAUAAGUAUAGUGACUUUCUCUCCAGUUACCUGGGUUCUGAAAUCACUCUUUGCUUAACUGCAAAAGAGCUGAAAUAUACUGAGAAAAUGGGGGUGUUGAAAGUCUGUCUUCUUGCAUGGCCCUUUCACGUGUAUUGCGAAGUCAGAAGCAGAAGACAAAGUCUUGCUCUUCCCUCAACAGGAGCAAACUGAAAUAUGAUUGCAGCAAGAGAAAAUAAAAGUAUUAGGAACAGUUAUUAUAGCAUCUCAGAAAUACAAGUGAGGGUGAAGAAGAGUUUCGAAUAUAUUUCUACAUCCAAAUAGACAAAUAUUAAUUUAUUUUUUUUUCUGUAUAAAUGGGCAAUUCAUUAGUCAGGUGGGCAGAGUCAUUCUGAGCAGCACAUAUUUGCCGAGAAGCAGUGCUUACCUACUAAGUGCUAUGUGAUCACGAAGUUCUGUACCCAUAAAAACUUAGGCAGGUUCCUAAAGCCUGUUGUCACUGAUUGGAGUUGGUGUCAUUUUAAUAAGUAGUAAGGGGAUAAAGUAAGACCAGGGUUUUUCCUUAACAGGGAUAGGAUCCCAAGGAGGACAGUGGUGGUGAAUUGGCUAAUUCUGCUUAGUUCUACAUUGGAGUGAGACACUGAAGCUUUGGGUCAGCUUCUUAAUUCCUAAUAAGCUCUUCUAGAGGCAAUCAGGAGAAUCAAGGAAAUGGGCCAAGAGCAAUAAAAACUAUUCCAUGUCUCCUUUGCAUAUUAGUAUGCUCAAAAUUGAAACCAACUGUGCAGUACAGAAGUGCAGAUAAAGAAAUAUGGUUUUGUUUUCAUUUGUUUGUCACAAGGAAGGAAGAAGAUAAAAACUGGAGUAUGACACUGCAGGGGCAGCAAAAGAUAAGUACCAUGUUGAUUACUAUCUAGUGUGGGAAGACACGGUGAAGUAUGCAAACUCUUCACUAGCUAGCAGUGGAUUAGGGAACUAUAUUAAUGCUAGUAAAUGCUGAUGUGCGGUUCACUUUUAUGUUUAAUGUCCAAUUUGAAAGGAAUUAAAGAGGAAUGUAGCAUCAAGUGUUCAGCAGAGUAGUAGCUGAUUACUUUUGCAUGACACAAGAAGCCUAGUUGGGAAUAGUAGCUAUCCAAAACCUGUAAUCUUACCAGUUUUUCCCAGAUAGAGGACAGACUUGACAAAUUAAUUGAUUUUGAUGGCAGAAGCUUAUUGCUGGAUGUUAAAGCAAGCUGUUACAGCUAAAGUUCAUGUAAAAUGAUACCAAGUGAGGCCAAAGGUUCUUUGCUUUCUAUUUUUCUUUGUUUAGGCUCUAUUAUCCCUUCAGCUUUGACUUUUAAACACAGCAUCUCUCUUAAUGGGGAGGAUGACAAACAUAACCAGUAUGGUCUGAAUUUUCCUUGAGGGAAAUGGGUGGAGCUGUUGCAGUGCUAUGCCAUAUGGUGGAGGAACACCCAGGGUGGCACCUUAACUGCACUUAGAACAAAACCAUCAGUGUCUUUCAGUUUUGUUUUCACUUGUUCUUAGUUCCCUAUUAGCCUACUUACUGUAAGUAUGGCUGUUCAUAAAAUCCAUAAACAGCCUCUUUCGGCACACAACAGAACUAGCACUGCACGAAACACAGCAACCGAGAAAGCUUUCUUGCACCCAACAGAACAAGUUUUUUGUUUGGAAUUUUUUUAAUGGCAAAGAAAAUACGCUUUUUUUAUGCAAGAGAGUUGGUUUGUGAUUCUCCUUUAUCAACUGUACGGAGUGCUCAGAGUGGAAUGAGCAGAGGAAAAGGUCAAGUCUAAGUCUGAAUGUACCCAGAACGUUCCUGAUCCCUAGAAUAAACUGAUUUUCUGUAACAUGGUAUAUAUCGCUAAUAGUUUUCAAUUUCUUGGUAUUUCCCCUGAAAUGGGAAGAUAAAGGAAUAUUUCUUUGAUCUUGCUCAGAACUUCCCUGUUGUCUAGGAUAGGAUACUCAUAAUUCCAGGUAGAUACAACUACUUUUAUGUGAACAGAACAGCCCUGAGUUUACCCAUGAUAGUAAAAAAAGUGCCAAGACCCAGCAAUAAGCAACAAAAAAAUCAAAAUCCUGGAUACAUGUAUCAUCUCCUAGCUCUAUACUGAAACAAUAAAAUACUAUAAUUGCCUGAGUGCAUUCAAGUAGCUGUCCGUGUGAUAACUAAUGUGUAACUACUGUGGUUUAGUUCUGCUGUGAUCUUUGUGUAGCAAACGGUGCAGUUCAGAUACCCAAGGCACCCUGGGUUUGUCAGUUGGAGACCAGCAGGAUCCAGCUCUAAGCAAUGAUCUUGGAGCUCUCUGCUCUGCUUCCUGCAUUGCUCCUGAUCCUAGCCAGCUCACACUUCAGAUAUAUUAUUGGGUUCCGUGCUGGCAAAAGAAGUGUAUAGUGAGUGACAUGGUUUUGCAAGCAAGUCCUGCAGUGAUGGUGAGCCUGAACUUGUCAUUCCUGCUGCACCUGAGCUAAUGCCAUGAAGUGUCUUUGUACUGUGUUUCCCAGUGUGUCCCAUAAUGUGGUAUUUGGGCUUUCUUUUCCUACCAGUGUUAAUGUCUUGUGUGUUCCAGGCGCCUUUCCCACCAUGUUGGAAGACAGAGGUGACUGAACUUAAAAUAAAAACCAUAUCAGUUUAAAAAUAUGAAAUAUACUUUUGUAUUUAUUGCAAAAUAUUAUUUCCUAAUGCUAACUUGUAUGAAGAAAGAAAAAUAUGAAAAAUUGUCAAAAUACUGUGAUAUGUAGGAAAGCUGUUCUUCACUGAAAAAAAGUGAAGAUGAAAACCUUAAUAUGAGUAGGUAAAAAUCUCUAGGAAGAGACUGUUACAGAACUGGUAAAGUUUUUUCCACGCAGGCACACAGGAACAUUACACAAGUCCAUUCACAAGUUUGCUAAGGACAAGAGAGUACCUAUUGGCAACAGGUAACUUGCUGGGUAUACAGCAAGUGCCUACGUGUUCUUUUUGCCUGUGAAAAAAUACUAAUUGAUUAAUGAUAAGCUAACAAUAUAAUUGUAAAUUGCCUUUUGUUUAACACAAAAUGAGCAUGUGGAGGGUCAAUUUGUGGUGCAAACAUUACUACAUAAUUCCCAUUCUUUUUAUAGAUAGAUCUGAGAUAACGCUUAGAUUUUAAUGGGUGGAAAACAUGGAAGAAAAGGGCUUUGACAUGAGGAACUACAAAAUUGCCAAGGAGCGUAUUGGAUGAGUAUCUUUUUUCUUAUUAACCAAAAUGUUCCACACAGAUGGCCAGCAUAACCAUUCCCAUUUUUCAAACAGACACUGAGGCACAAGAAAGAGCCAACUUGCCUAAAACUGCUCAGUAUGGUAGACGGAAGUGGUGACCAAGCUCCUAAGCCUCACGGCAGCAACAAGCUCCCUCCUCAUCCCACCACGACAUCUAUCCUGCCUAGGCAGAUGUCCAGGGCUGAUGUGAAGAUUUUUCGCAGCUGGCUCCAGCAUCGUCUACCCAGCAACCAGUACCACAACAGCCCUGCUGCUGUGGCAAAUGAGGCCUCUGAGGGCAUCCAUCUUGUUUCACCUCAGCUGAAGCAAGCAGGUUGAGAGCAAAUGAAUGCAAGACACUGCGGGGAGAGAGGCUGGCGGGAAAGCGACAGGAGAUGGGGGAGCACGAGCCAAACCCCUGCUCAGUGGCAGACCUUGUGGUAACAGCAAAGCCCUCAGCUGGGUACAGGGCAGCUCCGCAGUAGGUAUGUGUUUUAGGUGAGCUUAAAUGUCACUCCUCUACCUGCACCGCUAGGCUCGACAAAAUAUAGUAAUAUCAGUAUUAAACUGAGAAUGGCAAACUGCAGGUAGCCCACUGUGCUGAACAGCCUACAUAUGAAGUGAGGUGUGUCAGAGAGGUCAAGACUGUACUUCUGUUUUUAAAUAAUUGCUAAAAGAUACAUUUGAAUGUGUUUUCUGUUAGGCCUAUGAUUUAAUGGUGCAAAUGCUGUGUAAACGCUGUAGCUACCUGUAGUAAAGGAGAUGGGAUUCAGUCUUUUUACCUCAAUAUACAGCAAGGCUUCUGUUCCUAUGAAUUGGUUUGCUGCAACUGAUGGCAGAGGUGUUGGGGGUUUGUUUUUCUUGUUCUGAAUGAUGGAGCUAUGCCUGAAAAAUGUUAAGUAUUAUGUUCUUAUGCCAAAAUAAAUAUUCAUGCUUGGACUUAAUCAGGAAUAGAUGAAUCACUUGAAAGUCACACAAUUACUUAAUCAAGCGAAGACAGAACCCCAGUGUGAUACUUGGGCUUUGUUUGUUCGUGGUUUUAAGGGGAAAUGGCCUUUUGUCUUUGCACUUGGCCUGGUAUUAGCUAUAGGCUCCCUUAAACUGCCUGGAGCCUGUGUGAACAUGCUUCUUGAAGAACUUGUCUUCAUUCACUUAUGUGUAUCAUGGUUGCGUACAUAUUCAUUUAGGUGCUGGUGUGAGAAUAUACAUAUGUUGUAAUCUUUAUUUCUUUCUCUAAAGUCUGUUCGUGAAGUAUGCUUCCUGCUAUUCAACCUUUGUUUGCUGAAAAAACCACAACUAGAAGCAGUGUUUUGAGUGGAAAAUAACAGGGACGAUACCUUAUGAGUGAGUGAUGCGACAUUCCCCUCUCCCUCCCUUUAACAUUUUGUAGAAUGUCUGUCUCCAGGAUAAAGUCCUGAGACUUUGACUCUGAUUCCUAGCAUGAGGAUGAGUACAAAAUUUUUUGUGACAAAUUCAAGUUUACUGUGGAAAGGAGUUUUUUUCUCUAAGUUUUAAGAUAGGCAUUAUGUAAUGUAAAUAAUUUUAUUUUGGUUGUAAACAAGCAAAGCUACAAAUGAGUCCUAGUAUUCAGUGAUAGUGCUGCUGUUUUUCCUUUCUCUUUCAGUGCCAUAUUAGGGUAAUUUGUGUUUUGGAGGAGCAUUUCUGAACUGCCUUUUGCAACAGCAGAGAAAGUGCCUGAGAAAGUUCCAUGAAAAACAGUGAAUCAUAAGUGUGCUUCUAAUACUGACAGUGUUUCCUUCUGUUUCAGAAGCUUGCAGGCUGUGUUUGAUAUGAAUGCCUUUCGUGCUGGAAUUUUUUGUAGCUGCAUCCAAUCCUAUUUUUAGACCUGGGCCUGAUUUAUAUUCUGGAUGGCUCUGUUUUAUUGGGAAGCUUGUAGCUUUGCUAUAAUUCAUGUAUAUGACAUGUUAUUUCCAUAAAUACAGUUUAAAAUGAUAAUUACUUUGCAGAAUCGAAGACUACCUAAUCUGCUGUGUGAAGUGGUAUAAACUAUGACAGGGUAUUCUGGUAUUUAGAGGAGUCUGGUUACAAAACUAGGUGUGUCUCUGAUAUGUUCAGUUUCUCUCUUUUAUAUCACAGAAUGUAAACCCAAGUGCAGUGCAAACUAAUAAUGUUCAAAGUAUUUUUAGUGCCCCUGACUGUUACUAUGUGUGCUCAAUUUUGUACAUAUAUGUUGGUAUGUAAUUCUAUGCAUACAGUGGAAAUAGUGUAAUGGUCAAGUAAAAGGGAUAAACAAUUGAUGAAUUUUUAAAAAAAGAUGGAUUUUAGAAAUGUACAUUUUUCACCUGUGUAUGUAUGCAUUUAUGUUUAGAAUGUGGUUCCAUUGUACUAUUGAAACUGCAGCUGUGUAUGACAAACCAAGUUUUGCCAUCUGUCUUAUGGCUAGGUAAAUUCUGUAAGAUUGCAUUAUGUCAUUUUAAACGGCUAAUUGAAAGGAAGCAUUUUUUAAGAGGAAAUUGGUUUUGAAUACAUUGGUUCCCCUUUUCAGUCUCCACUUGAGUAUAUUUUUAACUGUUUCAGGAAUGAUACUUUUAAUGUACAUAAGAGAACUAAAAUAUUACAUAUUUUUAAUAAAAAAAUAGAAACUAUGGUCCAAAGACAUCAGAGUUCUGCUGAAAUAUACCAAUUAAGUUUUAUUAUCUCAUCAUUUGUCACUAAGUAUAGGAAUCAUUGUGAUUGAAAUCCAAAGUAAUGUAUGAUUUUUUUCCCUGGCUGCUGAAUGAGCAUACAAUAUUCGAAGUAUUGAGUCUUGGUAUUGUUAAUUUUAAGAGAAUAAGUUGCUGAGCAAAAUACUAUUCAGAGACUAUUAGUAAAAAAAUAAAAGCAAAAAAUAAAAGGCUGAUUUGCAUGUAUUUUGGUAUGUAAACACCCCCCCCUUUUUAAAACAAAUGUUAAAGAUUAAUCCAAA
This is a long non-coding RNA of Harpia harpyja (harpy eagle), 6546 nucleotides long. RefSeq lists it as uncharacterized. The record is from RefSeq and is a predicted model, not a curated record. Lineage: Eukaryota; Metazoa; Chordata; Aves; Accipitriformes; Accipitridae. The transcript is spliced from 2 exons.